Molecule: long non-coding RNA, 4211 nt
Organism: Apis cerana (Asiatic honeybee)
Lineage: Eukaryota; Metazoa; Arthropoda; Insecta; Hymenoptera; Apidae
Source: RefSeq, a predicted model, not a curated record
AGCGAUAAAUUGCGAUGAAUGUAAAAGAUUUUCAUAAAGAUUAUCGUAAAUACAAUUGUACACUAAUUAUUUCAUUUUAUGUAUUUUUAAUUAAUAUUUCUUUUCAGAUUUUUCAAAUUUAUUUAAUUUUUAUAUAUUUUUUUUAUAUGUUUUAUUCUAUUUUAAUUUAUUUAAAUUGUUAUCUAAUAUUAUAGUAAUUUAUAAUUAAUUUAUAUUACAGUAGUCUUCAAUUCUCGCGCGGUUUAAGUAAAUAAAGAAUCGCGCCGAUAUUCCAGCCAAUUAGAAGCAACUUAGAUGAACCUAUAGCAUGCGACAUUUAUCUGCCGAAAAUCAUAGUGACAGGAUGCGUCAUAGAUUCGAGCAGUUUGAUUUCUAUUACGCAGUUAUUAAUCGAUUAUUGAUGUAAAUCAAUUUCGAAGGAAAAAUGCAACAUGGAUGCCAAUAUGUCUUUUUAUGGAAACGCGAUAUUUUUCAGUUUUUAUGAUGAUUUUUCAUCACCCAUAUUGAUGUCAAUGUAGAUUCCUCGCAUCUAUUGGAGAAAAUAUAUUUCCGAUACAAUCCUGGAGGAGGAUGAGUAAAAAUCGCGACGAACGAGAGAUCGGACGGCACGUGGCGGGGGUCGAAGACAAACCCUUCGUCGGCUCAAGGUUGGCCCGGGAACGUGGCCGGAAACCGCAAGGUGCGGUGUGUGGCGCGGAAGGAUUCCACGUGGUGAUCCAGCGCGGCCAGGGAAAAGGCCGAGUUGAGCCGAAUUGAACGUCGAGGGCGGAACGCUCGAGCUCCCUCGUCGAAAAUAUUUCUCGACUCAAGGUGGAAAAGGCCGUUUAGAGAGAGCCGCUGCGAAGAGAAGAAGACGAGAGAGAUGGAGCCGAUGCAUCGUCCUGUUAAAACUCUUUCUCCACCCAGUGGAAUCUAUUCUACAGGAUGUCUAGCUCGCCGUUUGUCCUCAGAAAUGUAACGAGGAAAUUUGCCAUCGGAGGUGGAGGAGCGAGGCGCAGCUCCACCACCGACCGACGCCAUUUUCGGAAUGCCGCUCGUCUCCGGAAGCUGUCGCGCCAAUAAAUCAAGAGACAUCUGCGACUUGUGAGACACCUUACUGCGAGCUCCGUCGUCACGUACGUCGGAACCUCCUCUUCGACCACCCUUUUCUUUCCACCUUUCCGCCUCCUCCCUCCGUCCUCCCUCCUCUCUUUCCAAUCUCUCGCUUUCACUCUCUCGCCCUCCACGUCGGUCGAAACUAAUAUUAUAGCUACUCCUCUCGGGCCGGUAUGCUUUCACGAGAGGUAAACCGGCGGCAUCAUUCGGUAUCGAGGAUCGAAGCGAGACGGCGAAAAGAAGUUUCAAGUGGGUUGCUUCUGAUAUACUCGGGCUAUGCGAUUGAAACCAGAGUUGUUGAUAAUGUAAACGCCGACGAAGUUAGUUCCUCCCUAUUCCCCGCUGGUUAUCGAAUCCGUUGCAGUUUAACUUCUUAACGAUCGAUACCCCGCUCACUGUUCGAGGAUCGUCCUCCCCGUGUUACGCCGAUUGCUUUUUCGCCGAUACCAAUCCCGCAAACUUUGUAAUAUCGAAAUUUCGAUCGGCCAAAUUUUAAACCGCGAGUUCCCAGUUUCUUCUUCCACCGCGCGUCCAUCGACGAGGAAAACAUCGCGAAUAUGAAUAUUUCACUCGCGUGACUUUUGCGUGGCCGGCACAGAUUGCACGAUUUUCUUUCCCUUUGGUACACAACGGGUCGGCUUGUUCAAUCUUCCAUGUUUCCAACGACUUUAGAUUGAAACCGCCCUCUCCCCGUUCCCCCCUGUUUAUACACAUCGACGAAGCAGGUGCAGGUGCAAUCACACAGCCUUGGCCGUGUCUUGGUCGCUAAUGAUCAAUUCACCUUGGCGCGAGAGGGACGGAGACGGAUGGAUAAAAUUUGGCCGAGCAACUCUCUCCGGAGCGAGCUUUGGGAAAUUGAAAUCGUUUAAUCCCAAGUAUAUUCCCGACCGGCCUUCGCCACGGUCUCGUAACUAUCUUCGUUGUUCAACUUUCGACGCUCGAAACUUGCUUCAUCUCUCUUUCUCUCCACCCUCCCCUUCCUUCUCCUUCCUCUCGUUCCUCCACGAUAUUUCGCCACCCUUAGGAAGAAAUUUCGCGUCUUACGGUGCCUUCAAACUUGGCCAACGCUUUUAUUACAUCGGGUGGAUGGUAAGUAAUUAAGAAUCAAAUAGAUCGUUCCGAUUAUCCGUCUCCGUCUUCUUGCUUUCGACGAGAAGAGCGCGAAAGAAGUCACGUUGAUUCACGAUUCCUUUCGUCCAACACAGGACGAGCAUCGAGUGUCCAACUUGGAAAGGGUCGAAAAAUCUAAUACGUUUACUGCAAAAUUAGACUUUGAAGAAUUUUUAGUUUUGAAAUUCUCGCGAUUGUUCCGUACGAGGGAAUGAGAAAAACUAGAUGAGACGCUGGAAAUUUUUCAAUCAUCGAGAAUCGAUCGACGGAAAGGGAGAGAGGGGAAAAUUUCGUAAACAACGCAGCGAAAAUUCAAGCACGAUUCGACGAAUCGCGGAUAGGUACGAUUCUCGUAGCUUUCGGUUUAAAGGGGGAGAAGGGGGGAAUUUAAGCGAGCCUCGGGUUCGGUUGUUUAUUUCGAGAAAGCCGGUUACGAGCGGCAAUUAACGGAAUGUUCUCUAAUACGAAUGUAAACAGUCCGGCAUUUGGGCGGAACACCGCGUUUCGAUGUAUACUCGGUUGCUCGGCCUUCAAUUUUGCAUCGGUCCACUAGCGGCCGUUCCAUUUCUCUGCGCGUAGAAACGAGCGCACAGAGGUUGCGUUUGCAAUUCUCGCGGAUUUUACGAGACAAUGGAAUCUUGGUGGAGAAGCACGCGAGACUGGCCCGUAAAUCCACACCCGAACCGAUUCGACGAAAUCCAGUUGAAACAUCUCCUCUCCGCGCCGCGUUUACAUCAAAGGAAGUCGGUUUAUACGUUGUUUCCAGGUUGAUUCGUCGAUUUCGUUGGCCGAGAGAGGUGGCUACGUUACGAGACACGUUGCAGCCGCCAACGCUCCCAACGUGCAAUCGAAUCACGACGAGAAAUUUGGCGAUGCACACGAGUUCGCCUCGUCGGAAAUACGAUAUCGAUUAACGUCCACGGAUUAUACGCGAGGAAAACGAAGGAUCGAUCGAUAUUCGAUAACUCUAUCUCCCGUGGAGCGACAUGGAGCGGAAGAUAUCGCGUUCGAACAGGGAAACAUACACCGCAUAAUACUGGAAAUUAACCGUUCGUUUCGUUGGCCAUCUCGUGGCGAGGCGAUCCUGGCGAAACGUGACGCGAAUACUUUUUUCCCAUCCCUCGCAAUUAUUUCACUCGCAUCAAAAGUGAAAACAGAAGCGCAAUUCGGAAGAUCGGUUGGUUUCAUAAGUGAAUUUCGCGAAUGUCGGCCCGGAUGCGAUAACAAAUCGCUGGUAUCGACGGAGGCCGGUCGUUUCGGAAAUACGAAGGAGGAUCGCCAACAGCGUACAUGGGAUGGAAAAUCAAUCGCCUCCGCUUCCCAGGCGUCCCAUCUUCUUCUCGACCAUAUCCGAUACCUUCCAACGUUCCGAAUAAAUAUAACGCUCGACUCGCGUCACUUUUUCCACCAUCGGUAUAAAGCCGAAAUAAAUUAUGCAAGCCGAUCUUUCUUCCCCUCCUCCCCCACCUGCGUUGUACAACCGCGGACAUACACCCUUUCUAUUUUUACCACCGCGUCGUCCAUUUUACUCGCGUCUAUUCGACUCGCGAGUCGUUCUUCGUAGACGUCGUUUUCGCGUCCCGUUUCGUUACAACGUUACGUCCGUUUCCAGCGCAGCAAAGGAAUAAAAAGUGUAGUUGCCCGAAAUUUGUGGGGAAUUUAUACGGCGACCGUAAAUCACGGGAAGAGAGGCGAUAUAAGGAUACACGAGAUCGAAGGUGAGAGAUGGAAUGGGCGGAUUUUAUUUAGCUUACGAAAACGAUUAUACCGACAUUUUAUUACCGUCUAUACUUCACCCCUGCAAAUCCUCCCUCCGAGGGAGAGGAUUCUCUCCAACGCAGCGUGGAAAAUCGGUUAAAAAUCGGUCAACAAACCGGAAGGACAAAUCGAAUUCUGUGGCCAAAGGAGGACCAAAGGACCCGUGUACGAUGGGAUACACGAAAGAAACGGUAACAAACGGAGUUGGCGCGCGAAUGGACAUAAUCUGUUUAAUGCUCGCAGGUCCA